GAACGCUGGCGGCAGGCCUCAUACAUGCAAGUCGAGCGGUCCUUCGGGACAGCGGCGAACGGGUUAGUAACGCGUGGGAACGUGCCCUUUAGUACGGAAUAGCCAUUGGAAACGAUGAUUAAUACCGUAUACGCCCCAAGGGGGAAAGAUUUAUCGCUAAAGGAUCGGCCCGCGUUAGAUUAGGUAGUUGGUAGGGUAAUGGCCUACCAAGCCGACGAUCUAUAGCUGGUUUGAGAGGAUGAUCAGCAACACUGGGACUGAGACACGGCCCAGACUUCUACGGAAGGCAGCAGUAGGGAAUCUUGGACAAUGGGCGAAAGCCUGAUCCAGCCAUGCCGCGUGAGUGAUGAAGGCCCUAGGGUUGUAAAGCUCUUUCGCCAGGGAAGAUAAUGACGGUACCUGGUAAAGAAACCCCGGCUAACUCCG
RNAcentral lists this ribosomal RNA (426 nucleotides) under uncultured Alphaproteobacteria bacterium. RNAcentral's name for it is "bacterial SSU rRNA". It matches the Rfam family "Bacterial small subunit ribosomal RNA", at positions 31 to 505 of the family's 1533-position model. The record is from RNAcentral. Lineage: Bacteria; Pseudomonadati; Pseudomonadota; Alphaproteobacteria.